Molecule: long non-coding RNA, 3301 nt
Filed under: Homo sapiens (human)
Lineage: Eukaryota; Metazoa; Chordata; Mammalia; Primates; Hominidae
Description: HSALNT0086045
Source: RNAcentral
GUUCCCUGACCCCUUUGUGGGUGGGAACUGGAGUGCAUGGGUGCUGGAACAAGCCAACUGUGUUGGCGCCAGCAGGGGCAAAUUCCACUCCCUUGAACCCGCUGCGCUCCACCCCUCGUGGGAGGGGGAGCACAGGUGAGCAGGUACAGGAGGAGCUGGGGAAGCACUCUUGGGCACAUGCAGGAGUGAAUUCCGUACCGGCCCCACAGCAGCAUCAGCGGGGCGGGGGUGCCCACGACCCCCGAAGCCCCAGAGGAACUGUCACAGUACUCUUUUAGCUCUGCCCUCUGUGGAUGGCUUAAGUGUUAACAGCUCAGUGGACCCUAUGUCUUUUAGCAUAAGGCGGCUACCUUCUGCCAGCGAGGGCAAAGGGUCAGUGUGGCAGCCUUUUGCCUCCACACUCACUGCACCUGAGCUGUUGUCAAGCAUCCAGGAGAAAUGAAGUAGCACAAACGAAUUGGAGGAUGGUAAAUGUGGGGGAUUUUAUUGCUGUUGGACGUGGCUCUCAGAGGGAAGAGGAGCUGAAAAGCAGACAGAGAAGGAAGGUAAUCUUCCCUCAAAGUCCAGCUGUCUCCUGGGAUUCUUCUUGAAAUUUACACCGUCGAGCUGUCCCUCUGAAAGACACGGACACUUCGGAAAGCGUUCUGCGGACAGUUAUCAAGAUGAUGAAUUGCAGUGAACACCAAGACACAAAAGGCUUAAUUUGCUCUUCUUUGUCAAGAUUUCUAAUGCUGAGCUGAGCUAGUUGAUUUGUAUUCCUUUCCUUCUAAUGCAUAUAUUUAUGAGUACUUAAAGUAAAGAAGCAGGCGAUCAGAGAAGGGCUGGAGAGGAAGAGGCAAUAUGAUGAUGGAAGCAGAGAUUGGAGUUUUGUGCUUUGAAGAUAGAGAAAGUGUCCUUAGCCAAAGGAUACAGGCAGCCACUACCAGCUGGAAAGCCAAGGAGAUGGAGUCUGCCCUAGAGUCUCCUGAAGAAACCAGCCCUGCUGACACCUCGGCUUUGACACAGUGGAACAGAUUUCACACUUCUGGCCUCCAGAACAGAAACAGAAUAAAUUUAUGCUGUUUUAAGAACUAUGUUUGCGGUAAUUUGUUACAACUGCAACAGGAAACAAACACAUAAGUAAAAAACACAUUGUGAUUAAGGAGCUCUGUGAGAUUUCCUGAGUCCCAGAGAAAUGUUCCUGUAACAAAACUCUCAGAGUUCAGUGAUUGGGAGCUUGAGUUCACAGACUUAGGAAACAAAUAUCUUCUUUUAGAGAAAUUUUUCAAACAGAACCCGAAGUGAACUCUAGUAUAAUCUUCUAAUGAAUGUUACAGCGUGUUGUUUGUGCUAUUAAAUUCACAUGCAUAUUCUCUCUCUUACCUCUCGCAUCUUUUCUUCCAAUUCUCUCUCUGUCUCUCUCUCUCUUUCUCUUUCUCUCUCUCUCUCUCCCUCUCUCUCUGUCUCUCUCUCUCUCACACACAGAAUCAUAAACUACUUUUCUUCUGAAUCCUCUCUGUAAACGGGCUAAGCAUUUGACUUAAGCACUGUGAUGCCUUCUUUAGAGAGAUUAAGUAGGAUGAUGCAAAUGCUUUGUCAGAUGCUCCCACCAACUGAUUUAUCUUGGGAAAGAUAAAAAUUUAACCUGAACAGAAAUAGAAAUAUUGUCAAUGAGGGUGAAGGUCAAAUAUUUAUGUCUACUUGAAAAAAAUCAAUGUCAGAAGUAACAGUAGUUCUUUUCUUGUACUCUAGCCUGCGUUUCCUUAAAUAUUGUGGCCCCUAGAUAUAUUGAUAGUUGAGAAAAUGCUCUUUUCUUGCUCUGCUUCCCUCAGGAAAAGUUUUUUAAACCCACUUUCUUAGCAGCUAAUCGAUCAUAUCUUGUGUGAAUAAUCAAAAGCCUUGGAAGUUAUGUGUACAUGUCAUGGCUUUCAUGAAGCAAUAGCAGAUGUGUGAGAUGUCUGCAAAACCUGCAGAUGGCAGUUGCGUGAUCUACCUUCAUUGGCAUCAUUCAUAAUAUAAACACGAUUAUAAAGUACUCUGUUUACAUUAUUCUUGAAUACAAUAUUCCCAACAAAAAUAUCUGCAAAAGUCAACACAUUAAACCCAAUGCAGUGCAUUUUUAUUACAAGAAGGCAUUCUUUAAGGAUGACUAAUGUCUCCGAGGAAUAAAAUGGAGAUUAGGCAAGAGUGUGAUUAAAAUGAAGACCCGAGAAAGGUUACAUUCUCUAUGCAUUCAUUCUCCGCAGGGUGCACAACUGCCUAAGAGUAAAACAAAUAAUUUCUCCAGCAGAAAGACUUCCAUUUGAAAUGAAAUGCUUAAAAUAACAAAUUGUGUUUGUUUUUACCAUCACAUUUCCUUGACAUAUAGAAAAGUCAUAUUUCCUCAUCAUAUUUCUUUUGGUAAUAAGCUUCUUUUGACAAAGAUUGUACUUUGACACUAUGAGAGAUGUUUGAAUAGACAUAAUAAACACAGAAACAUACUAAAACUAAAAUCUAUUGAAAAAAUUUUAAAAGGAUUGAAAAAUGAAUGUGUUUUGACAUAAGAAUUGAUUCUGCAAAUUAAGUAGAUCUUUAAAUAUUAGAUUUAUUAAUACUAUUAUUGCUUUUUUGUUGUUGAACAUUGUAGAUUGUUAUAAUGAUUCUCAAAUGUAUUGGGAUUGCUAUUUUACAAUUCUUAUUGUUAGUACUGAACCACAUGCUGUAUCUUUCAUUUGUCAAAUUUUAAAAGUUUCUUAAUCAUCUAAACAUCUUUUUCCUCACCAAAACCUAUAUUUCCUCCUAUAUGCACUGUCAGCAUUAUUAUUUCAUUUAUGUGAAUAGAAAUGCUAUAAUUAAAAGUAUAUGUUUAGUUUAGUUUCAUUGUUUUUCUGUUUCUUAGCAAAGACUUGGAACCAACCGAAACAUCCAUCAAUGAUAGACUGAAUAAAGAAAAUGUGGCACAUAUACACCACGGAAUACUUUGCAGCCAAAAAAAAGGACGAGUUUAUGUCCUUUGCAGGGACAUUAAUGAAGUUGGAAACCAUCAUUCUCAUCAAACUAACAGAAGAACAGAAAACUAAACACCGCAUGUUCUCAUUCAUAAGUGGAAGUUCAACCAUGAGAACACACGGACACAAGGAGGGGAAUAUCACACACCGGGGCCUAUCGGGGGGUGGCAGGCUUGGGGAGGGAGAGCAUUAGGGGAAAUACCUAAUAUAGAUGACGGGUUGAUGGGAGCAGCAAACCACCAUGGCACGUGUAUACCUAUGUAACAAACCUGUAUGUUCUGCACAUGUAUUCCAAAACUUUAAAUGUAAUAAAACAAUUUAAAAAUGUGUUCAAU